AAGUCGAGCGAGGCUUCGAGCCGAGCGGCGGACGGCUGAGUAACACGUUGGUAGCUACCCCGAACUCAGGGAUAACAUCGAGAAAUCGAUGCUAAUACCGGAUGGUCCCGAAAGGGUAAAGAUUUUUCGGUUCGGGAGGUGCCUGCGGCCUAUCAGCUAGUUGGUGAGGUAAUGGCUCACCAAGGCGACGACGGGUAGCCGGCCUGAGAGGGUGACCGGCCACACUGGGACUGAGACACGGCCCAGACUCC
RNAcentral lists this ribosomal RNA (251 nucleotides) under uncultured bacterium. Its description in RNAcentral is "partial 16S ribosomal RNA". It matches the Rfam family "Bacterial small subunit ribosomal RNA", at positions 59 to 339 of the family's 1533-position model. The record is from RNAcentral.